Regulatory RNA element from Shewanella sp. P1-14-1, 114 nucleotides. NCBI's taxonomy places the organism in Bacteria, Pseudomonadati, Pseudomonadota, Gammaproteobacteria, Alteromonadales, Shewanellaceae. The record is from Rfam.
UGCUGAAAUGCGUUGAAGAAAAUGGCGUAAGCCUGACAGGACGUCAGGCUAGCUUUAGUUGGCCAUGGAUGGCCUAUCUAAAGCGUUAGCUAUUUUCGAAUAAGCAUGAAGCUU